Molecule: long non-coding RNA, 353 nt
Filed under: Rosa chinensis
Lineage: Eukaryota; Viridiplantae; Streptophyta; Magnoliopsida; Rosales; Rosaceae
Description: sRNA RchiOBHm_Chr2g0141201
Source: RNAcentral
UUCAAUUGAAGAGGAUUGCAAUUAGGUGAACUUAUUCAUACUAAGUUGUACACUUGAGUUGAUAGCCUUUCUAUGUGUUUCAUGCGUUGAACAUGUCAUGAUUGACUAGCUUUCUAGGGCUUGAUUACAUGUUUGAUAGGAUUAGUCUAUGUGCUUUCACUUAGAUUAAUUAGCAUUGAAAAGUAAAAUAUGGGAAAUCGUUUGCUUUCGAAUGUUUCACAUGAUCAACUCUUUUCACAUGACUUGGAAGAACAAUGUAGGGUUAAUUCGAAUUCAAUGAUAAACUAGGGUUUAAUCUUUGUUUCUUAUGUUUCAUUCUUGUACAUGUGUGUACCCUCAAUCCCCGGAAUAGA